Molecule: unclassified non-coding RNA, 357 nt
Filed under: uncultured fungus
Lineage: Eukaryota; Fungi
Description: sequence contains ITS1
Rfam family: 5.8S ribosomal RNA (bases 1-107)
Source: RNAcentral
GAACGGCGAUACGUAAUGCGAAUCGCAGGCUUCAAGCGAGUCAUCGAGUCUUUGAACGCACAUUGCACCCGCCGGCCAAUCCGGCGGGUCUGGCCGUCCGAGCGUCAUUGCACCACUCGGCGUCGCGAGCAAACCCCCCAGGCCCCCCCAGGGUCUGGAGGGCGAGGCCGGCACCGGCGUUGGGGGGCUGCGGCGCGGGCCGCACCCCCGAAAUUCAGCGGUGGCACCGCCCGCGAGUACCGGCGCGCAGUAGGCUCUACGCGGCAAACCACGCCAGGGAAAGCGCGGCGCGGGCCAACCCGGGAACAAGAAUACAGGUGUGACCUCGGAUCGGGCAGGGAUACCCGCUGAACUUAA